Molecule: ribosomal RNA, 327 nt
Filed under: uncultured eukaryote
Lineage: Eukaryota
Description: partial 18S ribosomal RNA
Rfam family: Eukaryotic small subunit ribosomal RNA
Source: RNAcentral
CCCUUAGAUGUUCUGGGCCGCACGCGCGCUACACUGACGAAUGCAACGAGCUUAUAACCUUGGCCGAAAGGUCUGGAUAAUCUCCAAAUUUCGUCGUGAUGGGGAUAGAUUAUUGCAAUUAUUAAUCUUCAACGAGGAAUGCCUAGUAAGCGCAAGUCAUCAGCUUGCGUUGAUUACGUCCCUGCCCUUUGUACACACCGCCCGUCGCUCCUACCGAUUGAAUGGUCCGGUGAAGCGUUCGGACCGUGGCCUUUGGACGGUUCGCCGUCUGUUGGCUGCGGGAAGUUCGUUAAACCUUAUCAUUUAGAGGAAGGAGAAGUCGUAACA